UUGUGAAUUGUUAUUAAUAUUAAUUUAGUCCUUAUGAAUAAUGAAGUCAUGUUAAAAAAGGUCAGUUUUUAAUUUUUUUUAUUCCAAUUCUGCCCUUCAAAGCCAAUUCUCUCUCUAUCUUCUUCUCCUCCUCCUCCACGCAGACACAGACCUCGAGAGAGAGAGAGUGUGAAUGGCGAAGAACAACGCGUCACUCCUAGCUCUAAAAUGUGUUCGUCCUCGACGCCUCGUUACGCCUUGUUCAGCGCGGCGGCGGCCGAGUAGGAGGAGAAAGGGGGAGGCUAGGUUAGGAUUUGAGUUUGGGGAGUUAUCUGCUCCAAAUCGGUGACAAUGGGGCCCAGGCUCGGCUCCGGCGACGUGUCCGGCUUCAAGUUCCUUCUCAGAGGCUCGACCCGUCGAGCACGUUCGAGUCCUAGCCAAUGUUAUCGAUAGCCGCCAUGUGAAUUCUUGGUGAAACUUGUUGUUCUUUGUCGGUUCAAUCUCAUUUUGAUGCCAUUUGAUAAAAUGCAGAAAAGUGAACAGUAAAGCUCAAUUGAGUUUCUGGCUGAGCAGAUUCUUAAUGAGGAGUUGCCGGGUGGAUCUUCUUGGACAUUGGAUGUGUUCACUGAAGCAUUUGUUGGAAAGUUGAAGUCAUAUCCUUUGAGUUAGCUUGUGGAUCUUCUUUUUGAUUCCUAGCUUCACCAUAGUGAUCUCUGCCUGAGGCCUUACUAGAGUGAUCCCUUGGUUUUCAUGGCGGUUGUGAUUGUUAUGCAGUCAUCUGCCGCUGUGCUGGAUAGGCAAUGCUUGCAAAUGAUAAAGCAACUUGCUAGAAUUCAUUGCUGAUACGUACCGACUUAUAUCAGGUAUGAUGAUGCUUGGAAGGUAUAUGAGACGAUGGAAGCAAAUAAUACCCUUCCUGAUCAUGUGAUGUGUUCGAUAAUGAUUACUAUCAUGAGGAAAUUUGGUCGCAGUGCAAAAGAUGCAUGGGACUUCUUUGAAAAAAUAAACAGGAAAGGUGUCAAAUGGAGUCAGGAAGUUUUGGGUGCUCUUAUAAAAUCAUUUUGUGAUGAGGAGCUGAAGAGUGAAGCCCUUAUCAUUCAAAUUGAAAUGGAGAAGAAAGGGAUCUCAUCGAGAUAGACUUGGUGGCCGGAUUCAUAUGGGAGCAUCAUGGUGAAACGUAAGAAUGCACUGGAUUUUUGUCAAGAAGUGUGGCAUCCCCUCAGCUUUCAUGGUUUGAAGCACAUAUAUGUCAUCAGAAUGGAUACUAGUUGGUUUAAAACAAUGUAUCAUAGAGUCAAAGUGUCAAACCUAUGUUUCUGAUGAUGUGGACAUGUCAUAAUUUAUAGGAUGUGAGCUGAGUAGUUGUUUAGAAUCAUGUGUAAUGUGGCUGGAGCUUGAAGAUAAUAAACUCUCUCUUCAACAUAUUUCAUUUCUUUUUGUCUGGAAAUUUCUAAUGUAUUCAUCAGGUUAUUUUUCUUUUUU
Molecule: long non-coding RNA, 1461 nt
Organism: Rosa rugosa (rugosa rose)
Lineage: Eukaryota; Viridiplantae; Streptophyta; Magnoliopsida; Rosales; Rosaceae
Exons: 4
Source: RefSeq, a predicted model, not a curated record